AUUGAACGCUGGCGGCAGGCCUAACACAUGCAAGUCGAGCGGAUGAAGGGAGCUUGCUCCUGGAUUCAGCGGCGGACGGGUGAGUAAUGCCUAGGAAUCUGCCUGGUAGUGGGGGAUAACGUCCGGAAACGGGCGCUAAUACCGCAUACGUCCUGAGGGAGAAAGUGGGGGAUCUUCGGACCUCACGCUAUCAGAUGAGCCUAGGUCGGAUUAGCUAGUUGGUGGGGUAAAGGCCUACCAAGGCGACGAUCCGUAACUGGUCUGAGAGGAUGAUCAGUCACACUGGAACUGAGACACGGUCCAGACUCCUACGGGAGGCAGCAGUGGGGAAUAUUGGACAAUGGGCGAAAGCCUGAUCCAGCCAUGCCGCGUGUGUGAAGAAGGUCUUCGGAUUGUAAAGCACUUUAAGUUGGGAGGAAGGGCGGUAAGUUAAUACCUUGCUGUUUUGACGUUACCAGCAGAAUAAGCACCGGCUAACUUCGU
RNAcentral lists this ribosomal RNA (483 nucleotides) under uncultured bacterium. RNAcentral's name for it is "partial 16S ribosomal RNA". It matches the Rfam family "Bacterial small subunit ribosomal RNA", at positions 30 to 506 of the family's 1533-position model. The record is from RNAcentral.